CCCUUAGAGUUUGAUCCUGGCUCAGGACGAACGCUGGCGGCGCGCCUAACACAUGCAAGUCGAACGAGAGAUGAGGAGCUUGCUCUUCAAAUCGAGUGGCGAACGGGUGAGUAACGCGUGAGGAACCUGCCUCAAAGAGGGGGACAACAGUUGGAAACGACUGCUAAUACCGCAUAAGCCCACGGCUCGGCAUCGAGCAGAGGGAAAAGGAGCAAUCCGCUUUGAGAUGGCCUCGCGUCCGAUUAGCUGGUUGGUGAGGUAAUGGCCCACCAAGGCGACGAUCGGUAGCCGGACUGAGAGGUUGAACGGCCACAUUGGGACUGAGACACGGCCCAGACUCCUACGGGAGGCAGCAGUGGGGAAUAUUGCACAAUGGGGGAAACCCUGAUGCAGCGACGCCGCGUGGAGGAAGAAGGUCUUCGGAUUGUAAAC
This 432-nucleotide ribosomal RNA is filed under the name uncultured bacterium. Its description in RNAcentral is "bacterial SSU rRNA". It matches the Rfam family "Bacterial small subunit ribosomal RNA", at positions 1 to 430 of the family's 1533-position model. The record is from RNAcentral.